CCCAAAGCCACGAGCUGUGAUAAACCAUGAAGAAGUUGUGCAUCGUUCUUGCCGUCAUUCUGCUGUCUUCGGCUAUGCUGGCAGAUGCUCAGGGCUUUCCUGGCCGCGGUGUGGGUGGUCGUAGAUGUGGUCGACAAGUCUGUCGGUUUGGUCAACGCUGCGUUGAGGUGCCAAUUCGAUGCUUCAGAGCACCCUGCCCGCGGCUGUUCAGAUGUGUCUGAAGAAGCAACUCACAAGCAGAAUGACUUAUUCAUUCGAAGUACUGGCGCGAGUUUCCAGCAGAGGGAAUGAAGAACGAGAGACUGGAUGAGAAAUGGUUUUUCUAGUGCAGUGCCCAGUAAAGCAUUAUCCAGUCCUCGUUCUUUAUAUUUGUCUUGAAAAAGUGGCCACCAGAUCUUCAGUGUUGUGAAUAAACGUAAACAGA
This is a long non-coding RNA of Rhipicephalus sanguineus (brown dog tick), 424 nucleotides long. RefSeq lists it as uncharacterized. The record is from RefSeq and is a predicted model, not a curated record. The transcript is spliced from 4 exons. Lineage: Eukaryota; Metazoa; Arthropoda; Arachnida; Ixodida; Ixodidae.